Molecule: ribosomal RNA, 351 nt
Filed under: Sesamia sp. SEBEG3922
Lineage: Eukaryota; Metazoa; Arthropoda; Insecta; Lepidoptera; Noctuidae
Description: partial 12S small subunit ribosomal RNA
Source: RNAcentral
AAAAUUUAAAUUGAAAAUACUAAAAUAGUAGGUAAAUAUUUAUUGAAACUUAAAUAAUUUGGCGGUAUUUUAGUUCAUUUAGAGGAAUCUGUUUAAUAAUUGAUAUUCCACGAAUAAAUUUACUUAAUUUAUAAUUUUGUAUAUCGUUGUUAUAAAAAUAUUUUUUAAUAAAAUUAAUAUUUAAAAAUUAAAAUUAAAAUUUAAAUCAGAUCAAGAUGCAGAUUAUAAUUAAGAAUAUAAUGGAUUACAAUAAAUUUAUUUAGAUGAAUUUUAAUUUGUAAUAUUUAAUUGAAGGUGGAUUUAAAUGUAAUUUUAUUUAAUUUAAUAAAAUGAUUUAAAAUUAAAAUAUGU